AGAGUUUGAUUCUGGCUCAGAACGAACGCUGGCGGCGUGGAUAAGACAUGCAAGUUGAGCGAUGAACUGACGAUAGCAAUAUCUGACGGGAUUAGCAGCGAACGGGUGAGUAACACGUAGGAAUCUGCCCCAAAGUUCGGAAUAGCCUGGUGAAAGCCAGGGUAAUACCGGAUGUGAUCUUCGGAUUAAAGGCUUCGGUCGCUUUGGGAUGAGCCUGCGCUCCAUCAGCUUGUUGGUAGGGUAAAAGCCUACCAAGGCAAAGACGGAUAGCUGGUCUGAGAGGACGGUCAGCCACAAUGGAACUGAGACACGGUCCAUACACCUACGGGUGGCAGCAGUCGAGAAUCAUUCGCAAUGGACGAAAGUCUGACGGUGCGACGCCGCGUGGGGGAUGAAGGCCUUAGGGUCGUAAACCCCUGUCGGGUGCGAGUAAGGGUAUACAUUACGGCAUACUCAGAUAUUAGCAUCAAAGGAAGGGACGGCUAACUCCGUGCCAGCAGCCGCGGUAAUACGGAGGUCCCAAGCGUUGUUCGGAUUCACUGGGCGUAAAGCGUGCGUAGGCGGAGAGAUAAGUUUGGCGUGAAAGCCCCGGGCCCAACCCGGAAAUUGCGCUGAAAACUAUCUCCCUAGAGGAUUGGAGAGGAGACUGGAAUUCCUGGUGUAGCAGUGAAAUGCGUAGAUAUCAGGAGGAACACCGGUGGCGAAGGCGAGUCUCUGGACAAUUCCUGACGCUGAGGUACGAAGGCUAGGGUAGCGAAAAGGAUUAGAUACCCUUGUAGUCCUAGCAGUAAACGGUGUGCACUUGCUG
This 808-nucleotide ribosomal RNA is filed under the name marine metagenome. RNAcentral describes it as "bacterial SSU rRNA". It matches the Rfam family "Bacterial small subunit ribosomal RNA", at positions 8 to 822 of the family's 1533-position model. The record is from RNAcentral.